AUACAGAGGGUGCGAGCGUUAAUCGGAAUUACUGGGCGUAAAGCGCGCGUAGGCGGCUUGGUCAGUCGGAUGUGAAGGCCCCGGGCUCAACCUGGGAAUGGCAUUCGAUACUGCCAGGCUAGAGUAUGGGAGAGGGAAGUGGAAUUUCCGGUGUAGCGGUGAAAUGCGUAGAUAUCGGAAGGAACACCAGUGGCGAAGGCGACUUCCUGGCCCAAUACUGACGCUGAGGUGCGAAAGCGUGGGGAGCGAACAGGAUUAGAAACCCUAGUAGUCC
RNAcentral lists this ribosomal RNA (274 nucleotides) under uncultured bacterium. RNAcentral's name for it is "partial 16S ribosomal RNA". It matches the Rfam family "Bacterial small subunit ribosomal RNA", at positions 523 to 796 of the family's 1533-position model. The record is from RNAcentral.